This 389-nucleotide ribosomal RNA is filed under the name uncultured microorganism. RNAcentral describes it as "bacterial SSU rRNA". It matches the Rfam family "Bacterial small subunit ribosomal RNA", at positions 9 to 407 of the family's 1533-position model. The record is from RNAcentral.
GAGUUUGAUCGUGGCUCAGGAUGAACGCUAGCGGCGCGCCUAAUGCAUGCAAGUCGAGCGAUGAGGCACCUUUGGGUGUACAUCAGCGGCAGACGGGUGAGUAACACGUAGGUGACCUACCCCGAAGACGGGGAUAACAGGUGGAAACAUCUGCUAAUACCCGAUGGACUCUGAGCGGAAGCGAGGAGUAAAGGCUACGGUGCUUCGGAGGGCCUGCGGCCUAUCAGCUAGUUGGUAGGGUAACGGCCUACCAAGGCGAAGACGGGUAGGGGUGUGAGAGCACGGCCCCCCACAAUGGGACUGAGACACGGCCCAUACUCCUACGGGAGGCAGCAGCAGGGAAUAUUGCGCAAUGGGCGGAAGCCUGACGCAGCGACGCCGCGUGGACG